Suricata suricatta (meerkat) is the source of this 768-nucleotide long non-coding RNA. RefSeq lists it as uncharacterized. The record is from RefSeq and is a predicted model, not a curated record. NCBI's taxonomy places the organism in Eukaryota, Metazoa, Chordata, Mammalia, Carnivora, Herpestidae. The transcript has 3 exons.
CCAAGACCUCAGGUAGAGGGAAGGCCAGAGGAGUGGCAGAGUCUGGCCAAGGAGCUGGGAACGCACAGUGUAGUGGGGUCAGGACUGCGACCUGGACAAUCUGACUCCAGAGCCACUCCGGCUGCGGAGACCACUUCCUGACAUCCUGCUGAAUUGGCUUAGGUCAGAGGCAACAUUAACAAAAUCUGACUGGGGGACCGAAACCUUAAGGACUGAAUUAAACUAUUUAACGACUGUCUUUCUCCCCGCCAGGCUGACAUCUGGACUGGAAUGUUCAUCGCACUGCAUCUGUCCGUCCUACACCACCUCUGUCUCAGGGACUGAGACAAGGCUUCCACAGGAACACCAGCUGACCUUCCCAGUCACACGUGUGUGCCCUCAGUGAGUGUCCACCCGGCUCCCACUGGCUCACGAUGCUACUUCAGGAGGCCGGUACUUAGAGCUGAGAAAUCUGCCACCAACAGGAGCAGAGCCCCGUCUUCCUAACUCUGUGUCCCUGAAACACCAUGCCUUGUGCCUGGCCCACGAUGAAUGCUCCUUAGUGAGUCCCUGAAUAAAGCAGAAAGGACAGCUGGGCUGAGUUCAGUGGCCCCAUGUGCCACUGCCUCUGUAUAAAUCAGUGAUACAUGGAAAUCUGGGCCAGGUUAAUGGAAGCUGUCAUCGGGAAUGUCUGGGACAGUUGUACAAGGUUACAUUCCAGGAUCCACGCAAAAAAUGCCAGCAAUUGCCUUUUGUCAACUGCAAAUUAAAGCAAUUUCCAUGUACAGA